RNAcentral lists this ribosomal RNA (542 nucleotides) under Gnathodentex aureolineatus (striped large-eye bream). RNAcentral describes it as "partial large subunit ribosomal RNA". It matches the Rfam family "Bacterial large subunit ribosomal RNA", at positions 1913 to 2606 of the family's 2925-position model. The record is from RNAcentral. Lineage: Eukaryota; Metazoa; Chordata; Actinopteri; Spariformes; Lethrinidae.
UGACUGCAUGUUUAACGGCCGCGGUAUCCUGACCGUGCGAAGGUAGCGCAAUCACUUGUCUCUUAAAUGGGGACCUGUAUGAAUGGCUCCACGAGGGUUUAACUGUCUCCUCUUUCCAGUCAAUGAAAUUGAUCUCCCCGUGCAGAAGCGGGGAUAAAGACAUAAGACGAGAAGACCCUAUGGAGCUUUAGACGCCGAGGCAGACUAUUCCUACCACCCCUAAAGCCAGGCCUAAACCAAAUAGUUCCUGCCCCAAUGUCUUCGGUUGGGGCGACCACGGGGCAAUAAAAAACCCCCGCGUGGACCGGGAAAUAACCUCCUAAAAGCAAGAGCUCCCGCUCUAACUAUCAGAACUUCUGACCAAAAGUGAUCCAGCUAAUCCUGAUCAACGGACCAAGUUACCCUAGGGAUAACAGCGCAAUCUUCUUCUAGAGUCCAUAUCGACAAGGAGGUUUACGACCUCGAUGUUGGAUCAGGACAUCCUAAUGGUGCAGCCGCUAUUAAGGGUUCGUUUGUUCAACGACUAAAGUCCUACGUGAUCU